CGUAGGAGCUCUCCCCACCUUCCCGCGAAGCCCCCAGCUCCGCGGUGCUCCGACUCCUUGCUGCUCCUCUGACGCCCUCAAGUUGGGGCUGGGUAAUUCCCCCCUUUCCCCCAGAAACACUCCUAAAAUUCCCCUGGUUGAGGCAGCGCUGGGAAAUCUCCUCAGGGAAUCCCUCAACUCGCUCAGCUGGAAAAGGGGGCUUCGUCAGGAACUGGUGCUUCAGGUUUAACCCGGGCUCACUGCUGCGCCCAUUGUCUGCUGAAGCUGCAGACUUGCUGACAAGGUGAAUGGGAACUGGUGUGGGCCAAAUCCUACCGAGGCAGAUAGAAGGACAUCCGUGACUCACGCAAGCCUCAAGAAAAGUCUUUCCACCACGUUUGGCCUCACUGGCCCCUCCUUUUCUGCAGGGAGGUAGGCCAAAGGCGGAAUUAUUUAUUGGUUUUCCUGGACUUCGAACGUUGCUUAGGCAUCAAGGGUAGAUAAAAAGGGAAAAGAGAAUUGCCCGAGGCCUACUUUAUACAUGAUCAUUUCAUAUAUGCAUAUUUAUUUACCAAAGUGCCUCAACCCUGCAGUGAGUGCAUUGAAUAAGUUUGGUUCCAGAAUAAGAGUCCUGUAUGGCACCCCUCCUCCGAUAAAUAAAACCCCUACACUGUUCCCUUUACCACAGCUUCUUUACCACAAAAACUUGCGCACACAACUUCUACAACAUGCAGCACAGGUAAAACCAGUUCUGAAUCCUUAACCUUACGGACUCCAUUCUUUUUAAAUGCUAGAAGUUGUUCAGUAGAAAAGGUAACAAAUAGAUUCAAAAUAUGCAAAACGUUACACCCAAAGAAAUCCACCAAAAAUUUCUUUAAGCUGGCAGUAAACCCAGAUGAAACUAUAGUCAUUGGAGAGCAAAAUGCUGCAGUGCACCCAACCCAAAAUAAAAAUCAAGAUAUUGGUCAAGUUAACUUGCAAACAAAACAUCUUCCAAUUUACAUUUUUCCCCCAAACAACCAGAGUGAGAAGUGAAAAGUUUUUGAAUGUCAUCAGGACAGGAUGACAAUCAGCAGAACGUCCUUCAAGUUCUCAGCUACUGGACUGACAAGAUACAGCUGAUGAAAACUGGUGAACAAUUUGUACCUUUUCUGUAACUAUUAUGUGUCAGAUUAUUUUUUAAAAUAGAUUAAUUUUUAAUCUAUGCCAACUAUGGAAUAGAUCACAAGACAGUUCCAGUAGCAUGUGAUUAGUUGGAGGGAGAAGAGGGGCUAUAAACGAAUAUUUCUUUGUUUGGGUGACAAAGAUGAAUGGUCUAUUGUCUUACGUCUGAAAAGAAGUAAACUCAACAGUGCCCUCUCCUGGAAAAAUUACCAAAUAUACUUUUAAACUAUUACAUUUGUAUUACCUGUGCUUUCUAAUGUGCUGCUUUUACUUACAUGUCUACAGUAGAUAUUUCCUCAAACUGCAUCACUGCAGACGGCAUGGUAAUUUGCAUUUACACUUUGGUAAAUAAAUAUGCAAUCUAUGAAAUGAUUAUGUAAAAAGUAGGCCUCGGGCAAUUCUCUUUUCCCUUUUUAUCUACCCUUGAUGCCUAAUAUGUAUGAAAUUUACUCUUUUCUCAAAUAAUAGGCUAAGGCAGUUGAAAGGGAAAAUCAUUGCAAGUUGAAGCUGAGAGUUAGGCUAAGAGCUACUCCUUAAUGUUUACUUUCUCUACACAAUGCACAUGAUUCAAAAACAUAACUCACCUCUCCAAAGCUGCAUGUGCUUUAUACAUUUCAGCAUUAACC
Molecule: long non-coding RNA, 1769 nt
Filed under: Marmota monax (woodchuck)
Lineage: Eukaryota; Metazoa; Chordata; Mammalia; Rodentia; Sciuridae
Source: RNAcentral